RNAcentral lists this ribosomal RNA (612 nucleotides) under uncultured Alphaproteobacteria bacterium. RNAcentral describes it as "bacterial SSU rRNA". It matches the Rfam family "Bacterial small subunit ribosomal RNA", at positions 47 to 702 of the family's 1533-position model. The record is from RNAcentral. Lineage: Bacteria; Pseudomonadati; Pseudomonadota; Alphaproteobacteria.
CCUAACACAUGCAAGUCGAACGAACCCUUCGGGGUUAGUGGCGCACGGGUGCGUAACGCGUGGGAAUCUGCCCUUUGCUUCGGAAUAACAGUUAGAAAUGACUGCUAAUACCGGAUGAUGUCUUCGGACCAAAGAUUUAUCGGCAAGGGAUGAGCCCGCGUAGGACUAGGUAGUUGGUGGGGUAAAGGCCUACCAAGCCGACGAUCCUUAGCUGGUCUGAGAGGAUGAUCAGCCACACUGGGACUGAGACACGGCCCAGACUCCUACGGGAGGCAGCAGUGGGGAAUAUUGGACAAUGGGCGCAAGCCUGAUCCAGCAAUGCCGCGUGAGUGAUGAAGGCCUUCGGGUCGUAAAGCUCUUUUACCAGGGAUGAUAAUGACAGUACCUGGAGAAUAAGCUCCNGGCUAACUCCNNGUGCCAGCAGCCGCGGUAAUACGGAGGGAGCUAGCGUUGUUCGGAAUUACUGGGCGUAAAGCGCACGUAGGCGGCGACACAAGUCAGAGGUGAAAGCCCGGGGCUCAACCCCGGAACUGCCUUUGAAACUAGGUUGCUAGAAUCUUGGAGAGGUCAGUGGAAUUCCGAGUGUAGAGGUGAAAUUCGUAGAUAUUCGGA